CCUACGGGAGGCAGCAGUGGGGAAUAUUGGACAAUGGGCGGGAAGCCUGAUCCAGCCAUGCCGCGUGUGUGAAGAAGGCCUUUUGGUUGUAAAGCACUUUAAGCGAGGAGGAGGCUACUAGUAUUAAUACUACUGGAUAGUGGACGUUACUCGCAGAAUAAGCACCGGCUAACUCUGUGCCAGCAGCCGCGGUAAUACAGAGGGUGCGAGCGUUAAUCGGAUUUACUGGGCGUAAAGCGUGCGUAGGCGGCUGAUUAAGUCGGAUGUGAAAUCCCUGAGCUUAACUUAGGAAUUGCAUUCGAUACUGGUCAGCUAGAGUAUGGGAGAGGAUGGUAGAAUUCCAGGUGUAGCGGUGAAAUGCGUAGAGAUCUGGAGGAAUACCGAUGGCGAAGGCAGCCAUCUGGCCUAAUACUGACGCUGAGGUACGAAAGCAUGGGGAGCAAACAGGAUUAGAUACCCUGGUAGUCCAUGCCGUAAACGAUGUCUACUAGCCGUUGGGGUCUUUGAGACUUUAGUGGCGCAGCUAACGCGAUAAGUAGACCGCCCUGGGGAGUACGGUCGCAAGACUAAAACUCAAAUUGAAAUUGACGG
Molecule: ribosomal RNA, 591 nt
Filed under: uncultured bacterium
Lineage: Bacteria
Description: bacterial SSU rRNA
Rfam family: Bacterial small subunit ribosomal RNA
Source: RNAcentral